Sorex fumeus (smoky shrew) is the source of this 468-nucleotide non-coding RNA. Lineage: Eukaryota; Metazoa; Chordata; Mammalia; Eulipotyphla; Soricidae. The record is from the annotation of a RefSeq genome assembly.
AUGACCUGGGCUCUUCUCCUCCUCAGCUUCCUCAGCCAGGGCCCAGAGACCUGUGCUCAGAAUGUCCUGACUCAGCCUAUCACAGUGUCUGGGACUCUGGGACAGACAGUCACCGUCUCCUGUACCGGGACCAGCAAUGACAUUGGGAGAUAUAAUCAUAUCUCCUGGUAUCAGCAGCAGGAGGGCACAGUCCCCCAAACUCUGUUUUAUGGUCUCAAUAAGCGGCUAUCAGGGAUUCCUGAUCGCUUUUCUGACUCCAAGUCUGGCAACACAGCCACCCUGACCAUCUUUGGGCUCAAGCCUGAGGAUGAGGCUGAUUAUUACUGUAUCUCAUUUACAAGUACUAACACUUUCCACAGUAACUGCUUUAUGCAGGGAAGUGAGACAAAAACCUGUUCUCAACCUCCUCUGACUGCCACACUUCUGAAUCCAAGUUUUGUCGCUUCUAUUUUACUUUUAAAAAUUUAG